GUGCCAGCAGCCGCGGUAAUACGUAGGGGCCAAGCGUUAUCCGGAUUUACUGGGCGUAAAGCGCAUGUAGGCGGUUUACUAAGUCGGACGUGAAAGCUCCUGGCUCAACUAGGAGAGGUCGUUCGAAACUAGUAGACUAGAGGGUGGUAGAGGAGAGCGGAAUUCCAGGUGUAGCGGUGAAAUGCGUAGAUAUCUGGAGGAACACCAGUGGCGAAAGCGGCUCUCUAGCCCACUCCUGACGCUGAGAUGCGAAAGCCAGGGGAGAGAACGGGAUUAGAAACCCGCGUAGUCC
Molecule: ribosomal RNA, 292 nt
Filed under: uncultured bacterium
Lineage: Bacteria
Description: partial 16S ribosomal RNA
Rfam family: Bacterial small subunit ribosomal RNA
Source: RNAcentral